Molecule: ribosomal RNA, 253 nt
Filed under: uncultured bacterium
Lineage: Bacteria
Description: partial 16S ribosomal RNA
Rfam family: Bacterial small subunit ribosomal RNA
Source: RNAcentral
UACGUAGGGUGCGAGCGUUGUCCGGAAUUAUUGGGCGUAAAGGGCUCGUAGGCGGUUUGUCGCGUCGGGAGUGAAAACCAGGUGCUUAACACCUGGCUUGCUUUCGAUACGGGCAGACUAGAGGUAUUCAGGGGAGAACGGAAUUUCCGGUGUAGCGGUGAAAUGCGUAGAUAUCGGAAGGAACAUCAGUGGCGAAAGCGACUUCCUGGACCAAUACUGACGCUCAUGUGCGAAAGCGUGGGGAGCAAACAGG